UACGUAGGGUGCAAGCGUUAUCCGGAAUCACUGGGCGUAAAGCGUCCGCAGCCGGCUCGUUAAGUGAGAUGUUAAAUCGUGUGGCUCAACCAUAUCGAUGCAUUUCAUACUGGCGGGCUAGAGGAAAUCAGAGGCAAGUAGAAUUGGUAGUGUAGCAGUGAAAUGCGUAGAUAUUACCAGGAACACCAAUGGCGAAGGCAGCUUGCUGGGAUUUUUCUGACGGUCAGGGACGAAAGCGUGGGGAGCGAACAGG
This 253-nucleotide ribosomal RNA is filed under the name uncultured bacterium. RNAcentral's name for it is "partial 16S ribosomal RNA". It matches the Rfam family "Bacterial small subunit ribosomal RNA", at positions 524 to 776 of the family's 1533-position model. The record is from RNAcentral.